UGGGGAAUAUUGGGCAAUGGGCGAAAGCCUGACCCAGCAACGCCGCGUGAAGGAAGAAGGCCUUCGGGUUGUAAACUUCUUUGACCAGGGACGAAAAAAAUGACGGUACCUGGAAAACAAGCCACGGCUAACUACGUGCCAGCAGCCGCGGUAAUACGUAGGUGGCAAGCGUUAUCCGGAUUUACUGGGUGUAAAGGGCGUGUAGGCGGUUUUGUAAGUCGGAUGUGAAAUUCCCAGGCUUAACCUGGGAGCUGCACCCGAAACUAUAGAACUUGAGUACUGGAGAGGAUAGUGGAAUUCCUAGUGUAGCGGUAAAAUGCGUAGAUAUUAGGAGGAACAUCAGUGGCGAAGGCGACUAUCUGGACAGUAACUGACGCUGAGGCGCGAAAGCGUGGGGAGCAAACAGG
RNAcentral lists this ribosomal RNA (407 nucleotides) under uncultured prokaryote. RNAcentral describes it as "bacterial SSU rRNA". It matches the Rfam family "Bacterial small subunit ribosomal RNA", at positions 355 to 776 of the family's 1533-position model. The record is from RNAcentral. RNAcentral also lists the same sequence under 1 other name.